This is a long non-coding RNA of Chenopodium quinoa (quinoa), 1141 nucleotides long. RefSeq lists it as uncharacterized. Lineage: Eukaryota; Viridiplantae; Streptophyta; Magnoliopsida; Caryophyllales; Amaranthaceae. The record is from RefSeq and is a predicted model, not a curated record. The transcript is spliced from 3 exons.
UUGUUGUUAUUAUUAUUAUUAUUACAUCACUAAUCAUUGAAGAAAAAAAUCACAAAGUUAACUAACCCCCAACUAAUUCGUUAGAGACUUAGUUCUUCCUUCAAAGUAGAACAAACAGAACCAUAUUCAACUAAUUCUUCCCACAAAAUAAAAAACCCCAACUAAUUUUUCCCACAAAAUCGAACAAACAAAACCAAAUUGCCCCUAUGUUAUUCCAACUCUCAUAAUUUCGCUCACCUAUUCCUAAUAGAUUAACCCCAAAAUAGCAUCAAAUUUGAUUUUGAUUUCGAUUAAAUUAAUACUCCGUAUCAACUUUUAAUUUGUUGGUGUAGAUUGAAGAGAGUAAAGAAUCAAAUAUAGAUAGUUUGUUGCCAUCUUCUAAUAAUAUCUUGGUGCAACCUGAAAAUAGCAGCGGGUAGAUCGAGGAAGAAACAAAGACAAUUCUAAGGCAGUCUGAUGCUGUAGGAAAUAUUGCUUGAGUAACUACCUUGAACCUGUCUACCCCCGAGCUGCAAUGUGCUUGAUGAUACACGCUAUAAAGAAGCUCCACAAGGCACUUUUUGAAGGUCUAGCAACAUUUUUCAAACCUUAUGGUCUGAAAUUGAUCUUGCUUUCCUAUCCUCACAAUGCUGACCAGACGAUUGAGUAGCUUCAAUUACUAGACCGCUUGAAAGUUUUAUGGCGGGUUCUCUGCGAUCUCAUUGUAUUCAUAAUGACUCGUCAUAGAACUUGUAUCAUCUAAACUUAUGCUUAGGAGGAUUCUCAAGAAACUCAUGACUAGCUGAAGGUACAUAGCAUAUAAUGAUAUACACCAAAAGUGCUACUAAGUCAGAUAAAAGGCGAAGCAUUUCAAACAUGCCAGAACACUAUAUGGAUGUAUGAGUAGGCUUAACACUAUACCACAACAUUCUUAUGGGGAGGGAGAACCUUAAAUACAUGAAUUGUUAUCUCCUCCCACAACCCCCAAAAUAAGAAAGUCGGUUCCCGUUUGUAGGGAGGCGAUCAUUUUGUACUUCUUAAAGUUCUUGUUAGUUUGGCACAAGGUUGUAAAUUGAUUGAAAUUGAUUUGUUUAUGAACGUGGACGUCCAUGAGAAGGCUCAUCUUGAACUAUAAUUUAUGAACAUAGACUUGUUAUUGCAA